Long non-coding RNA from Lagopus leucura (white-tailed ptarmigan), 5838 nucleotides. RefSeq lists it as uncharacterized. The record is from RefSeq and is a predicted model, not a curated record. The transcript has 3 exons. NCBI's taxonomy places the organism in Eukaryota, Metazoa, Chordata, Aves, Galliformes, Phasianidae.
ACCACAUCUUCCUGCAAUUUCAGGUUUACUCAAUAACAUUUACAUUUUUUGGCUUUUCAUCUGAAGGGAGAUCUCUUGAAGUAUGGGAAAGUAAACAUUUCUCCAAGAAAGCUCUUCUGUUUGUGAGUACCUGCAGAAAAGUGUUCUCUUAGCACGCUGCUAAAUAUGACUGUGUCAUGCAGAAGCUGUGCUGUGCCUCCGAUGUGUAUUUCAUUCCUAGUCAAUAGGCAUUUGAGCUAGUUAAUAAAUUUUUAACAACACUGUAGACUAGACAGGGUCAUCAGCCAUUCAAAGAAACAACAGUUCGGUUGUCAGUAGAGUGUUAAUUUCUUUCACUUCCAACUGACCUUAACAUAGAUUUCAAGAUUAGUAUUGCAGUGUUUCGCCUCUCUUGUUAAAAAAUGAUAAACAUAGAUUUGCAACUUUCUGCCUUUGAGAUAUUUAGAUUCCCCGUCAAUAUUCUGCUGGCUUUUCCUCCAGCCUUGCUCUGCUUCGCUGUUCAAGGCUCCUAGAGAAGAAAUACCGUCUGUUUUCACUCUCUAAUGCAGCAAAGGUGCAAGGUUGAACAACUAGAGCCUAAUUAAAGCGCCAGAUUGAAAAAUCAAUACGCAUCAAUAUACACCAGGCAUUAUACUAAACAGUGGAAAAUAUUUUGUCAGAGCAGAACCGAGCAUGAGCCACUGUGAACUUCUGCUGUUCUUAUUUUCUUGUUCUGCUCUUUUUUGGAUUUGCUAGAGAUUGUGCUGUUUGACAACAUGCACACACCCACUACAGAGUUGUUUCCCUGUCAAGGAAACCCUAUAAUUAAACUUUUACACUUGCUCCUCUUUCAAAGUGCUGCUUUAAAAAUGCAAAGCUGCUCUCCUUUGCCUUCCAAGCACUUUACUCUGCUUUCCAACUGCCCACCUGAAAAGGCAAGAGUUGUUCUCACUGCUCUCACAGCUAUGGACCGCGAAAGCACUUCUGUCCAAAAAUGCUCUUAAACAUGUGGUUAAGCUGAAGUGGUACUGAGCCAAAGGGAUAUAAACAUCGCUGAAGUACUGACUUCACCGCCCUGCACUAGCACAAAACCUCACUGAACAGCCAGCAGUACUUCCUCCUGGUGCCACCAAUGCCGAUGCCUUCCUUAUGGCCACCCUUGAGGGACAGCACGGGACCACCCUGGCCACCAGCAGUCCCCAUUCGGCUGCGUUUGCUGGCCACGCUCUGCUUCUUGAUGCAUGUUAAAAACAGUUGGUGGCCAGAAGGACACCCGAGCCAAGUCUCCACGAAGGCACACAGAUGCAGCGAUGGGACCUCAUGAUGGAUUGUCGGUGUGUGCGUACGGACAUGAAACCGUGAACAGAGGAAUUUGCACAGGCCAGCAUUCAGGUUUCAUUCUGAAACCCCAGCAGAAUCAGACCCCUAACUCUGGCUGCUGUUAAACACUAAGGCAGCAUGUAGCUUUCCUCUUGCAUGGUUUCCCAUGUAGUACUGCUGACCUACCUCACUGCAGCUACAGCUGCUCAGGCCCUCGCAUGCCUUCAGGCUUUCCUUCCGAGAGUGAUUCUGGUGCCAGAGGGUUUUGGCAACAGUUGUAAUGUGCAUGAUUAUUUCCAUUGAGGAAACCAUUGGUGAUAACAGCAACAAGGAGGUAUGCGGGUGUAAGCCACAGUGUGCUGAAGGCAUGAGACCAUUAGGGUAUGUAAGGAUAGUCUCCUGAUGCUGUCAAAGAGGAAACAGCUCUGCACGUGAAAUAAUGUAGGGAAGGGAAUAUGCUAAACAUUGUUUAACCCCCAAGCUGCCCCCUGUGAAUAAAGUGUUUCCAAAAGCCUUCAGACUUGGCUUGAGCUAGGUGCUCAUUCAGCUAAUGAAAAACAUUACAUGCCCUCUGUCUAACCAGCCUGAUAUAUUCACUAAGCAUUACAGCAAAAGGAGAUGCUUUUUGGUCACUUUUGUUGCCACGUUCCCUGAUACCAAUGUUGAUGUUAUAAAGUCGAGCAGUAUUUUAAGUUGCUGUGAUCUUAAAUUUUGUUUCCUUAUGCAGCUGCCCAAGCCAGCUUACAUGCUGAUCAGGAUCUGCUGCAGCCUGGGAAUAAUCUGGCACCAGCUUCUUGGGCAGGCACGUAAAUCCUUACUGACAUCAAUGAACUGAAAAAUUCUGAGGCCUGGCAGUGACAAAGGGAAUAGUGAAUGAGAGCAGUAUUUCUUUAUAUUGAUCUACCUUUCCUCAUCUACUAAUAACACUGGCUGUUUACCCUCUGUAAUAAGCUGCGAUGGGUGCUACAUGGGUCUUUGCUUUCCAGUUCUCCAGUGCCAGUACACACAAACCAAGAAACCUCCCAGAAAAUGAGCUGGCUAGGACUAGAUAAAAUUAAGUGCAUUAAUAUUGUUAAUGUUUGCAAUUCAAACGCUUGUUAGACACAUUUAGACACUGAUUUUAUACCUAAGAAUUCCUCCAACCAAUACUUAGCAUCUUCAAUUCGGUCUACCAGAUGGGAAGAGCAGAUUCCCUGCAAGAGAAGGGAAAGGAUGGGUUCCCCAAAGCCCCACAGCCACGUGGGGAACCUGGGCAGAUGCUGAUGCCUUUGUCUUUGUCCCAAUCCGUUACUUUAUGGAGGAAAUUGGAGCUGAUUCUGUUCUUUGGAUUUCUGUUUUUAAUGGUACUUCUGAAGCUAUUUCUGCGCAUCAUCAAAGGCAGCAACAAAGGGAGAAAGAAAAAACGUGGGGCUGCGCAAAGCCUGCAAGUUUUUCCUUAAGGUACGGCGCUGUUGGAAGCGGGCACGCACCCAGCUGUGCUGCAGGAACAAAGGCUGGGCACCGCGCACCCACCUCGUGCCACCGCCAGGAGCCGGCCGGCGGAGCUGCAAGGACAGCAAGGACAGCAAGGACAGCAAGGACAGCCCGUCCCCAGCCCUUACCCAGCGCAGCAAACAGCCCGGCUCAGAGAGGAGAAUCAUUAAAAAUAAUUUGCAGGAGCUUUCUGUUCAGUGAGCCCUUUUUUUUUGAUACAAUAUUUCCUUCAGUGAUUAUCGCCGCGGACAUGUUCUGCCAUAUGGAUGGAGCCGGGCGAGGAGGCGGCUCAAUACCUGAGUGGUUAAUUAAGAGCUGUUGCUGGGCCACAAGAAGCAGGUUUGAAAUCCCUCUUCACUCACCGACAAUGAGUAGCUUUUUUAGCAGCAGCAGUCACUGGGGACAGCCAGAAGCGCAGGGUAAUUAUUUGAGAUAACAUAGAGCUGAAGAGUGCGUGUGCGCGCCCAUGUGUGCGAGGGGGAGCGCGCCGCCGAGAGGGCAACGCUACAGAAAGUUUACAAUAAAAAGGUCAACAUCUCCUACUUUUCUGUACAGUGUCGGCAGUCUGUGAUGCCUUUUUAGAGCGAAUGACAAUCUUUUUUUUUCCCUCUUAAAAAAACGAAUCUCUUAUUUGGUAUUCAAACGUUGCAAUUGUGAGCGUGGGGCAGCUGGGCCAACCUGAACGAGCCAUGCUCACGUUAUCGGCGCGGAUGCUGAAAUGACUUUGACUGCACUGUUGCAAAGAAGCAGUAAUUCCAACAUUAACUCAUGGAAACCCUGCGUGCUCUCAAGAACAAAGGAGAAAAGCGUUGAAACAAAAGCCGUGAAUGAAAUGAAGAACGUCCUUAACACAGACAUUUAGGGCUAAAUUCUCAGCGCACUGCCACAGGAACAGCAGAGACUGUUGGCUUUAACCAAGGGACUCACUUGAGUCAGAUGAGUGUCUGGGCUCUGGCCACCACACUGCUUGUGACUGGGGGCACCUAGGGGUACCACCGAGGCCCUUCACAACAUCAGUGGUUCUCCAGCAGAGAUGUUCAGGGAUGCUCUUGCAGCAAUGCAUCCCACUCACUAGUUUUCCCAAAUGACAACAAGCAGCAAGGCAGCUUACAAAGGUGUAUUUUCUACAGUGCUUCAUCUCUGAAGCACAGGACCAAGCUGCCAUUCCCACCCACCAUGCCCAGUAUUCAGAUAGAAAGCAAACUGUGAAGCAAUACACUGAGGACCAUUUCAUUUCUCAGAGCUGCAGAGAGUAUGAGCAUCCUUUCUUUAACCAUCAAAGCUCAUCUACAUCAGGAGCUCGGAAUGCUACUUCCCUGUUUGUUUGUUUCUAAGAAAGUCUUUCUACUCCUUUACUGAGCAGCCAAAUGAUGAAACCUCAGUCAUACGUUUUUGGCAUUUCCAGAAAAUCCCACAUGUGAUUUCCAACUUAGGAGGCUUAAAUCUCCAUCCAAACAGGCGCUGUGUGCAGCUCACACAAGCGCUUAGCUUUAUGCUGUAGGGUAAAAAUAAAUUCAGGAGAGAGAACCUUCAUCCUCCUUCUCUCUACCUCCAUUUUCACAUCCUCUCAGAUGCUGGGAACAGCUGACCCAGAACGACAGGAGAGUUUGAGCAGAGGCAAUGGGAGGACAUGCAGUUACUGGGCAUCAACCGAAGACCCAAACAUCCGUCAGAGGGGGACAUGGCGUACCUGUGCCCCUGCUCUUUCCCAAGGCAGAUCUUGCAACCUUUGAUGUUCCUCCAGUGCAAACAAUACCACUCCAGCAGCGGCACUUUUGCCAGUGUAACUGUCUCAGCUUUGUUUAGAGCCUGCCCAAUAUGUUAAUUAUCUUCUUUACCUCAGUGGCAUUAUACUGUCAAACCGUACAACAGUCUUUAGAAAAUAAAAGCUAACACCCUAAGCUGCUGUACCCGGAUCCCAUAAUAUCUAUUCACUGACAAUGCCUGAGCUGUCAGAUCAGAAGAAGCUUCAUUCGAAUAAAGGUGGGCAGAUGUGUGAUAAUGAGACAGAAGCAUACAGAUGCUAAUAUAACUGUUCAGCAGAGCAGGCUCGUCUUCGUUAGGCAGACCCAGGUAGCAGCUGCAGACUGUCAGACACUGGAAUGCUGCUUUCUCUUGAUUCUCAUUUAAGAUCAGCUUCGUUCGCUGUCUGUCAGUGAACUUUUCCCUCACAGGAGCCUGGACCCCUAGGUGAUCAGUCACAUUUCGACAUAACUAGAUGUCAAAAGAAGUUUAAGUUGUAUGACGAACUGUGAUGCAUUCCCUGUGCUAGCUGGCAGUCUCAGCCCUCCAAGGCGUCUUGUUAAUGAUCCACCUGGAAACUCUAGAGUAUUUCCCGUAUUUUGUUUUCUUAUUAAAAUACUGGCUAAGCCUUUGUCAAUAUCCAUGUCAGCAACUGUAAGCUCAAGACAAUAUUAUCACAAGCAUAAUUUGAUUUAAAAAUGGAGUGCUGGACCGACACUGACCAGGCAGCAGGAGACACACAGGGAGUGAGAAGGAUGCAAGCGUUCAGCUGCUGUGAUUUAGCAUCAUCAAUUAAAACAAAAUAUUGCUGAUUUUCUCCCGGGCAGAGGCAGGGGAAAUGUAACUGAAGUUGCCCUAUGCAAUACGUCUGCAGCCAGGCAGCCAGCUCUGCUGAUGAACACAACCAGGAAUAAGAUAAUGGGAAUCUCCGCAGACGAGCACACAAUUCAAAAGCUCAGAAACACAAAUAACCCGAGACUGCCACUGCACGUAGUGCUGGAACCUUUGAACCGGGAGUCUCAACUCCAGCAGCCUUUCAUCUGUUGCUCAGAGCUGUUUACCCACUCACACUCCUAUUUCAGAGAGCAGACAGGCAGAGGCUAUUUUACAUAACGUACACACGUGCACACACAGUGCAGUGAACUCUCUUACCACAGUUGUGCAGCAAGGCCAGAUAUCAGCUGGUGCUCAGUCGUGUCACACCAGUCUUCACAUUCCUUCUCGCUUUCUUGCUUCUCGGCAUUUGAAUUUCAACAUCACAAUUCUUUUCAUGCACCUGGGUACAAUUAACAGGUUUCCUACGUUCUUAAAUUUCUGAAUUAA